This 460-nucleotide ribosomal RNA is filed under the name uncultured bacterium. RNAcentral describes it as "partial 16S ribosomal RNA". It matches the Rfam family "Bacterial small subunit ribosomal RNA", at positions 338 to 795 of the family's 1533-position model. The record is from RNAcentral.
CCUACGGGAGGCAGCAGUGAGGAAUAUUGGUCAAUGGGCGAGAGCCUGAACCAGCCAAGUAGCGUGAAGGAUGAAUGCCCUACGGGUUGUAAACUUCUUUUAUAAAGGAAUAAAGUGAGGAACGUGUGCCUUUUUGUAUGUACUUUAUGAAUAAGGAUCGGCUAACUCCGUGCCAGCCGCCGCGGUACUACGGAGGAUCCGAGCGUUAUCCGGAUUUAUUGGGUUUAAAGGGAGCGUAGAUGGGUUUUUAAGUCAGUUGUGAAAGUUUGCGGCUCAACCGUAAAAUUGCAAUGGAUACUGGCAGCCUUGAGUACAGUUGAGGUAGGCGGAAUUCGAGGUGUAGCGGUGAAAUGCUUAGAUAUAACGAAGAACACCGAGUGCGAAGGCAGCUUACUAAACUGCCACUGACAUUGAUGCACGAAAGUGUGGGUAUCAAACAGGAUUAGAUACCCUUGUAGUC